GACGAACGCUGGCGGCGUGCUUAACACAUGCAAGUCGAACGGAAAGGCCCUGCUUUUGCCUGGUUCUCGAGUGGCGAACGGGUGAGUAACACGUGAGUAACCCGCCCUUGACUUUGGGAUAACUUCAGGCAACUGGUGCUACUACCUGCUAGGUGCUCCUGCUGCAUGGUGGGGGUUGGAACGCUUGGGCGGUUGUGGAUGGAGUCGCGGCUUAUCAGCUUGUUGGUGGGGUAGUGGCCUACCAAGGCUUUGACGGGUAGUCGACCUGGGAGGGUAACCGGCGACAUUGGGACUAAGGGACGGAGCAGAGUGGAAUGGUGGACAGCGGUGGAAAAUAUGAUACAAUGAGGGGAAGCGUGAGGAGGCGGCGUCGCGUGCGGGAAGCCGGUCUAGGGGGUGUAAACCGCUGUCAGCUGAUACGAAGCGGGAGUGACGGUACCGGCAGAAGAAGCACCGGCUAACUACGUG
RNAcentral lists this ribosomal RNA (468 nucleotides) under uncultured bacterium. RNAcentral describes it as "partial 16S ribosomal RNA". It matches the Rfam family "Bacterial small subunit ribosomal RNA", at positions 28 to 507 of the family's 1533-position model. The record is from RNAcentral.